Molecule: long non-coding RNA, 913 nt
Filed under: Triticum aestivum (bread wheat)
Lineage: Eukaryota; Viridiplantae; Streptophyta; Magnoliopsida; Poales; Poaceae
Description: long non-coding RNA (TAES_LNC000274)
Source: RNAcentral
UUCAUCUGAGCAGUACCUAGUGACUUGUUUCACAAUCAAGUAGUUCUGGAAGCCCCUUAAAGCAUAGAAGUAAGUCACCAUACUCUUCCUACUCCGGGCGAAAAUCAAUCCUUGUUCCCUCCCCAUGGAGCAUGGAACAUAUACAUCAGCAGUUCAUGUUCACUCCUUAAAUGGUCAUUCAGAGAAGCAUGUAGCCUGCUGCAAAAAUAUAGUAAAUCCUGUCCAAAGCAACAAUCUCUAAGAUACAACCAUAUCUACUUCAAAUGCAAUAAAAAAAUUAGUGCUUGUGUUUCCAAAAACAAAUGUUAACAUCUCUGGCUAUAUUACUUUGAAUCGAGAUAUCUGCUAUGGAGUUCAUGAAAUAUAUUUUGUAGAUAAUGGCUCAUCCAAGUUAAGUACAUGUAUAGACAUGAACAAAGCAAUGUAAAGGCCAUACUGUAAUAAUCACAAAUCUUCAGCAUAUCACCUUGAUAAAGUAUUAGUAUAAAACUAUAAAUACUCUAAAGGAACGUCUUUUACUCAAUGAUAAGCAACUCAAUUUCUAUUAAUAACUUAACUGGCAAUAUAACUUGUUCAUAUGCGAUAAAACUUAUCAUGGAAAUUAGCACAAGCUAUGUAGUCUGUUGCUUGUGUGCUCUCCUAUAUAACUACUUGGUAAACGCACAAGCAGCACAUUUACCUACUCAUCAUGUGAAACUCUGCAGGAAGCUUCACAAAUGCACUCACCUUUCUGAAAAGCAUAGUAGACACCACGAUUGUUCAAACUAUACGAGAUUAAAAAAAACUAACACGAGAACCUCGUAUCAGCCGGCGAGGGACGUGCUCGCCAAUUUUUUGGCGACCGAUUUCGGCGCCCUGGAUGCGCCCACGAGUUGGCAGAAGUAACACUGAGCCUUCGGGGCGAGCCAAUAUU